AUGAUCGUUAGCACGGUUGAUAUAUCAGUUUUAUACUCUGCUGAGGUUGCAUAUCUUUACCCACAAGACUUUCCUGUUUAGCCAGGGUUAGCUAGACCCUUGGACACUUCUAAGGUGAAUGGCUAGGGAUCCACUGCGAGGCCUUUACAAAGUUCCACUAGAGGAGAGAACCCGCUACGGAUUCUGCGCCGAAGGUGAUGUAGGAAUUCCUUUUUCGGAAAGCUAAAAAUAUAGUCCAACCCGAGGACCUCUCUACACCUGCACUCCUCCACCCCACUUGCCCUUUUUGGGAAAGGAUUAACUCACACUAGCUUUCCUAAUUAUUCAACUAAGGGUGUCCCAUUCCACCCUUUUGGUAGCACUGUUUUCCUGGGUGGUUGAUCCAUGUUCCAUUUAACAUAAUAAUCUUAUCGUGAACAAUAAUUAAACUAACAGUAUUAAUGGAACAUUAUCAUAAUUCAAUAUAACAUUAAUCCCAAAUCCAGGUAGAGCAAUAGCGAGUCUACCCGAUAGUUCAUUUGUUUGUAAGGUGUGGGGUAAAUAAAACUAGGGAAACCUAUUGGGUCCCAUCAAAUUAACCUGAGCAUGUCACAGUGAUUAACAGGAACAUUAUUAGGUAAAGAAGCAUGAUCAAGGGCACAACAUGCCUGUGACUUGUGAUAAUAGGCGUUGACCCAAAAGUUGGGCUUCAAGUUACUCGUCACCUCGCCUCUACUCGUAGCAAUACAUACAAUCAAGCAAAUAAUGGAUAUGGUAACAUUACACCAAAGCAUAUAAAUAAACAAUGUAAGAAUAUUCUACGCGCCGCUACGAGAUCGUAGGUUCGAGAACCACUAAAAUCGGAGUUAUGGUUAAAAAUAUAGUAUUCUAAAGUUUUAGGUUCUUUAAAAAGUAAAACUUUAUUCUUUAUUGAUUAAUAUAAGUCAGAAAGGAUAUGAAUAAAUAAUUAAUUUAUCUUUAAUUUAGGUUAUAACUUGAGUAGAGAUCACAUCUUAGUCAGAUUAUAAUUAUAGGCAGAUUGACUUUGACUAGAAUGAUUAUCAACUAUCAUAAGUUAAAUAAAUACCCAAUUAAAGAGGUAUGUGGAAUGAUACAAAUAAUGUUUUUAAUGUGUAGACAAUUUUACUACAAAGCUAAUGCAACUAGAACAUACCAAUUUGGAGUUAAAUCGCAAAAGUUAUGGAUUUUCUAAGGUUAUUGGAUUUAUUUUUAUACUAAUAAUCAUUAUAUCGGAUUUAUUUUACUUAAUUUAAUAAACUGUGGAUUGCGAGUACUAUUUCUAAGAAGAACAUGGUUCAAUAUAUAAAUUCUAGGACCAAUCCGCAAGACUCUUUACACAGUCUUGGAUGGCGGGUUAAUUUCUUAAAAAUGUGAGGGCUCUUAAGCAUAUAUCCUACGACGAAGGGGGUACGGUUCAUUAUGGACUGCCCGAUCAUACCCGAGUGGCCUAGAUUAGAUCUUCAUAACACCUGGACCAAUACGAGUUCUCAAUAAUUGGAUCUCAGAUUCGUGGUCAAGGUUUGGCCACACCAUCGAUUAAUCUCCUCUAUCCGACUCUGAUCCAGUGGAUCAGAUCAAAAAAAUGAAGGGGUACGUGGACGCUCAAUCUCAACCCUCGGUUACUCGAUCAACGGCCAUGUGCCUCAUCCACACCACAACUCUUACCCACGGCGGCGCAGAACAGGGCCCCACGAUAGCGUAUUCUCCCCUACGGCGGCGCCAUGGUCGCCGAGCACCCAAACUCUCCCCACAGCUCCAUCAUCGACACGAUUGGGAAGAAAACAACGAGAAGGCUACUACGGUUUGGAUAGUAGGGGACUUACCAGAGUUGGUGAGGUGAUGGCCUGUAGCCACGGCGAUGGGAGGCGUUGUGGCUGUGAAGGCCGACAAGGGAUUAUCGGCCGGUCAAGCUUUAGGAGUCUUCAAUUUAGCGCGAUGAAGAACUUGGGCACAAUUUUGAGCGCAGUAUAGAGGCAUGGAAGGGGAUCACUAACGGUGGCCGCAACCUUUCUCUUCGCCCCGCUGAUGGCUCACUCUGAUCCCCAAUUGCUCACGACGGCGGUGGCUAUUAACUUCUAUGAUAGCCCUCGGCGGUAUAGUACUAGAUGGCCAAGGCAGCGCCGAGCUCGGGUUUUAUAUUGGAGCAGAGCUAGGAUCGUAGGGGGGAGAAUGGUUGAAUAGCCCGAACUUUAUGCGCGUUUUGUUGAGGGGAUAGGGAUGGUCCUGAUGGGGC
This 2233-nucleotide long non-coding RNA is filed under the name Zea mays. RNAcentral describes it as "long non-coding RNA (ZMAY_LNC002331)". Lineage: Eukaryota; Viridiplantae; Streptophyta; Magnoliopsida; Poales; Poaceae. The record is from RNAcentral.